UAUGGCUAAAACAUGGCGAACUUUUUUAACGAUCCCAAUCGAUCGUCUGGCAGACGUUUUGAAAGGAGAGUAUUAGAGAGUAUUGGACAGAGUAUCUCUGUCCAAAAACGUGAAGGAGAACUCUAAGUGAUCGAUAGAGAGGAAAGCAAUCUUCAGCUGCUCGUUCAUUUUCUUCAAACGUUCACUUUAGUAUGGCGGCCGUUUCUUUGUCGAAUUGCUUGACACUCAAUUUAUAUGAAUGCUACUCCCAGUUCUAGGGAGUCAAUGAAAAUCGAUGAACAGCAGCUCGACCUUUACAUUGAGAGAAUAAUAGAAGCAGCUGCAUCAAGCUUGGGGGACGUUGUUGUAAGGGUAUCAAGCAGCACUAAACAGUCAGAGAAAGAGUUUGGUAAUAGUAGUGCAUCAUCUUGAAAUGUGUGUGGAAUCUUGACAUCAUCCUAUGGUGAAGUGACACCAAGUGAGAGUCUUACUGCAGUCUGUGAGCCUGAGGGAGGACCUCCAGUCCAUGCCCCCAGUCAAGAAGUGCCUGUUCAGGAAAGCUCUGGCCCCCCUAUUCAUCAACCUCCCCAGUCCCCAUCAUCACCUGAGCCUAGUGGAAAGAAGAUUAAAUCUGGUUCAGAUGGCGACAAAAGUCUUCAGCAGUUAUGCCAACAACAGAGGACACUGAGAAAGACUCACAGGUUGAAGUACAUCGCACUACUUUUGAACAAUCUCAUCUUGUGAUUAAUAUGAUGUCAGCUCUUUCUUCACAAAAAGUGAUCACUGUGAUGAAUCAGGCAAUGAUGUUUUCCUUUUGAACACUGGGAAGGUACCUUUGGUAUCAAAACUGUUCUGGAGGUCAAAAUAAAAGACGCUUACUGACAAUCUCUGCUCCCACUUGACUCUGUAAAUGGAAAUAAAAUACAGAAAAAUGAUGGUUUCCAAGGAAAGUUUCUUCGCUUCAUGCCUGGGUCCUUAUGUACAUUAUUCAGUUUUUAUGGAAAAUAACAGUUAACUUGAGCAGGAAAACUCCAAUCAGCCUAGAAAGGCUAGAAAAUAAUUGUGCUUAGAAAUAACAGUUACCUCCAGCUGGAAAACAGAAAAGACAGAACAGCUUACAGGGGCUGGAAAAUACAACAGAUUGUAGCUUCAAUAGAUGCCAGAAAUAUGUUUAUGAUAAACUGGCAGAUACUGUUUUGUGCAUUGUGCUGGUGAAGACAGCAGUGCAAGAAUAGGCGAAGAUGGAAUCAAUAAAUGCAGAACAGGAGUGAGUCCUAAAAAAACCAUGGAAGAGGUUUCUGCUGGUUUUGGUGUUGCUUUUCUUGCCAGUGAACCAGAUGAUAAAGAUUUUGUCCUGUAUGAGCUCCUCAAGCCUCCCAAAGAUGCUGCUUAUUAGUAUGCAGAGAUGUUCUGCCAUCAUUAUGAAAUGUGGAGAGACUGGAAAUGGAGGCAACUUGAGGAGAAAUACUUUUUUUAAUUUUAAACAAAAUCUGUAAGGCAAGCUAUUUGGCACA
Molecule: non-coding RNA, 1493 nt
Organism: Pocillopora verrucosa
Lineage: Eukaryota; Metazoa; Cnidaria; Anthozoa; Scleractinia; Pocilloporidae
Source: RefSeq, a predicted model, not a curated record